This is an RNA transcript of Dalotia coriaria, 6808 nucleotides long. It is a transcript of the gene named Rab3 interacting molecule, with no coding region annotated. The transcript is spliced from 19 exons. The record is from RefSeq and is a predicted model, not a curated record. NCBI's taxonomy places the organism in Eukaryota, Metazoa, Arthropoda, Insecta, Coleoptera, Staphylinidae.
GGCCGUGACGUCGAGCGGAGUACGCGCGCGGAUUGGCCGCUCGCAAUCUCAUCCCAUAAUUUAUUAAGUCCCGUAUGAAUGGAUAAUAGCAAACUGUGAUAUUUGGCCGGAUCGGUGGACCACCGUCGUCGCGAUCGCCAAAGACGCUGCGUUCGCCCGCGCCGCGCAACAACCGCCGCUUUCCGCGAUAAACAAUCCGCGCUGGUGGCGGCCGUGGAGGAAGGCGCCGCCGUGGCAAGCGGAGGGCAGUGAGCAGGGGCGACGGGCAGCCCCGCCGAGUGUGCGACGUGUGUCUGUGCUGCGCGCUGAUAUCACACAUCCCGAGGAGAGAUAAUACGCGGUGUCCUCAACCAAACAAAAAAAAAACACGCAGCAGCAGCGAGGAGAAACGUGGGUGGCUCGGUGCGGGAAUGGGAUUAAUACGCGUGUGGGCCUCGCUCGCGGGUGUGGAAAUGUUGCGCUGCGAGUAAAAAUUCAGUUCCUACGGCCGCACCGAAGCAAGAGAGGCAUGGUGGUGAAAUGACUGCGGCGGUGUGGUGGUUUUUCUAGCGCUCUAGGAACUAGUGAAUUUCGAUUGUGGCCCCGCUGCCGAGCAACCAGCAGCUGCGUGCUGGCACCAUGAUGGACGAAGGCCCCGACCUGUCACAUCUCACCGCCGAGGAGCGGGCCAUCAUCGAGGGAGUGAUGAUGCGGCAGAAACAGGAGGAGGAGCGCGAGCAAGAAAUCAUGAGGAGGAAAGCCGACGAGGUGCAGAUACUGGAGGAUACGAUACGCGCUCGCAACGAACAACACAAGAAAGCCGGCGUCGAGCUGGACGCCACAUGUCACAUUUGCCUUAAAACCAAGUUCGCCGACGGCGUCGGCCACUUGUGCAACUAUUGCUCGAUACGAUGCUGUGCACGAUGCGGCGGCAAAGUAACGCUCCGGUCGAACAAGGUGGUGUGGGUGUGCAUCCUGUGCCGUAAGAAACAGGAGCUGCUCAGUAAGACCGGCCAAUGGAUGGUCACCACGCAGGGUCUGGACAGCGACAUCCCCAGCCUGCAGCAGGCGCCCUCCGAUAAGCGACCGAAACUGGAACGAGCGCAUUCCGCCGCCGAGAAGGAAAAUCUACCGCUGCAACGCGCCGGCAGCGUGCUACGCCGGCAGUACUCGGAGCAGGAACCGCGCGUGCCCUCGUGCGAGCGCUACAAUCAGCAGGUGUACAACGAGGAGGACCCACGCUUCUAUCAAGGGGAAUUAGAGGGUCUCAUGCGUACGCAUCCACAUCUUGUUCCACGCAGGUAUCCAGACCAAGAUACUGAACCAAUGGAUAUGCAACAACGCAUGUCGAGCACGUCAAGCGCCAACAAGAAGCACAAACGCAGCGGGUCAAGUAAAAAGCUCCACCAGCCUCAACUACAGCGAUCUUAUUCCUCGUCCGAAGAGGAUUUGAAAUCUACACCGGAUUAUGGCAGCGAUGAACGCGACAGUGAAAAAGGAGGCGGCGAUGACGACUGGAUGUACAUUGUGGCACCGCGCCCGUUGCAAGAUGUGACCGCCGACAAUCGAUGCUUCACCGAGCGAAGAAAGAAGACGGUGCGGUUUGAUCAUCAAGCAUGGGACCGGCAAGGAUCACAGGAUUCGCAUCGUGAUUCCGGAAUCGACACAUCGUCAACGUUUACAUCCAGUGAAGAUUCCACCACACGUGGAGACUUGCCCAAGCACCCGCUCACCUGGCAGGUGUCCGCCGAUGGCAGCCGCAUGAUCGGCCAUAUGAUUUUACGCCGCGGAGCGCAACAUACCACCGGCAACAGUGCCGCCAUCUUGGGGUUAAAAGUCGUCGGCGGAAAGGCUUUAGAAAGUGGUCUGCGAGGCGCCGUCAUUGAUAAGGUGAAAAAGGGCAGCAUCGCCGACCUUGAAGGACAAUUACGACCAGGCGACGAGGUGAUAGAAUGGAACGGCAGAUCAUUGCAGGACAAAUCGUAUCAGGAAGUAUCGGAUAUAAUCGCGGAGAGCAAGCAGGAGGCGAACGUGGAGCUGAUUGUCUCGAGAAGCAUGGGGAGUCGGCGUGCGGCGCAAGCAACAUGGCGGCAAUCGGUCGCGCACAGAGGUCAAGGUCAAGUGCAAUGGGAUCACGAAAACUAUGACCGUCCGCACGUGCUGGUAACAUCUCCGGGUAGCCCCGACCGACCCCGUCCGGCACCCUCGUUGACAUCGAGUGUCGGCGGGCGAAUUCAGGUGCGGUUGAGUUUCGACCCGGCAACACUGCAAUUGAUGGUGACCAUUUUAUGCGCGGCUGGAUUAACACCUCGAUCACCCCAUCAGCCACGUAAUCCUUACUGCAAGUUGUUUUUACUACCGGAUAGAUCGGAGAAGAGUAAGCGAAGGACGCGUACGCUUGCUGGUACCACAGACCCGAUGUGGAAUCAGAUGUUUGUUUAUCCCGGACUGAGACGAGCGGAUUUGAGAUUGCGCGCGUUGGAGAUUACUGUUUGGGAUUAUGUGCGAUAUGGUGCGAAUGAUUUCCUGGGUGAGAGUAUAAUAGAGCUGUGGCCUUUGGAGGAGCAACCCACCUGGCGGACGCUAGGCCCGCAUGAGGAUAUUGCUCUCACACCUAGUGAGCAUCUCUCGCCGCCCAGUACGGGUUCGAGUAAUAAUUGUGUGCUCAGAUACUCGGACUCGGACACUCCGUCCGAGUGCGAGAUCGACGGCGGCCGCGAGCGUAGAGGCGCCGACGGCGCAAGCGUCUCCAGCGUGGGCAGCUCCACCAGCCCGCCGCGCGACAGCGAACGACGAUCACGGCGUGAUCAUCAGGAUCACAUCUAUCAAGGAUACAAUAAUCACCAGUCAAACAGUAGUUAUCGACGGAGCAAUAUGGCGGGUCAAAGGUCGCAUUCGGCGGCGCCGUGCGAAUCGCCGAGCGUGCACAUGUCGCGCUCGCGCUCCAAGUCGCCGCGGCGCGCCACCACCGACCACCACCGCUCACUGUCGCCGCCCGACGGCCGCCUCCUCGACUACAACCAGCAGCCGAACAACAACUACGCCGUAACGAGCAGCCGCUUCCAGUCGCGCUCCGCGACAGCCACACCGACCGGCUCGCCGAAGAAACGGCAACUGCCUCAAGUGCCACACCUUGCACGCGCGCUCCAGGAGCGCGUCGCUCAGGACCUCGAGGAGCGCUCCACGCGCUACAAAAUGAGGUAUACACAAUAUCGCAGUACUGGUUCGGGUUGGGAGCGUCGAUAUAGCGGAUUGAGCGAUUCGGAUCUCACGACGCACACACGAACAAGACGAUCGCUUUCACCCGAUCGUGAUAGAGAUCCCCUGGUCGAUUUUGACAGCGAUAUGGAAUCAGUCGCAUCGGUAACAAGCAGUGCGUUCUCCACUCAAUCGGAACGACCACGAGGAUCCAGAGUCAUCAGUGAAAUUUAUGCAAACCGUAAAUUUGCUUCGGCGCAAAAACGCGUGCUUGAACAAUUGCGUGACCAACGCGAGAAAUCCUUAUGGUCCUCACCAGUGCUUCAAACCUUACUCAAUAAUUACACGAAUUAUAAUCAUAAUGACAUUGAAUCACCGCUAGAUGCCAGUAGUAAUGCUAAAUUAUCCUUCCCCAGCACUGAAUACACAACUGGCAGCGGCAGCGACCGUUAUCCUUACGGCAGCCAUCGAACAACAACAUCACGACGCAUGCGUCACGAGAUGGACCACGAGCAGAAUCUCAGGGACCCGCUGGAUGACGACCGGAGGAACCAUCGACAACAUCGUGAGGGUAGUGUGAAACGUGGUCAGUUUACACGCAGUUUAUCGAAUAAUGAAGCUCCUACUGAAGAAAAGAACGAUGGAAGUUUAAGUGAUACUGCGGUAGGACAAGUUGGGGGAUUAGAAGUGCCACAAAAGGAUAUCAUCCGUAAGGAUACGAUACGCAGGGACCCACAGGCGCAGUUUGUGGGUCUCGGCAAGAAGAGUAACUCCACUAGUCAACUGUCAGCCACAGACAACACGCUGAGCGCGACGAUGAUGCCAGGCGGCAACCGGAAGCGUGUGCCGAGCAUUCAGCGAUCGCAGGAGGUUGUGCCGCCGCGGUGCGCGCCCACCGCCGACGGCAGCCAGCGGGCGGCGAGUCUCAAUUCCAUUUCCAGCUCGGAGGGAUCGUCGUGGUCGCCUUCAUUGCGUUUAACCACAGAUGGUGGUCAACUAGCGGAAUUCAUCGAUGGGUUAGGCCCUGGGCAACUGGUGGGCCGGCAAGUGUUAGGGGCGCCUGCGCUGGGUGAUAUCCAAUUAUCCCUUUGCUAUCAAAAGGGUUUCUUGGAGGUGGAAGUGAUUCGGGCGCGUGGGCUACAAUCCAGAGCUGGAUCUAAAGUAUUACCUGCUCCCUAUGUGAAGGUUUAUCUUGUGAGUGGGAAGAAAUGUAUUGCAAAGGCGAAAACGUCCACGGCGCGAAGAACUCUGGAUCCUUUAUAUCAACAACAGUUAGCGUUUAGAGAACCAUUUCAAGGCUGUGUUCUUCAGGUGACCGUUUGGGGCGAUUACGGUCGCAUCGAAGGCAAAAAAGUGUUCAUGGGUGUGGCCCAAAUAAUGUUAGACGAUCUAAAUUUAAGCAACAUCGUCAUAGGCUGGUACAAAUUGUUCGGCACCACGUCCCUGGUUAGUGGUACCUCUUCACUCGGUCUCUCUCGCAGAAGUUCGAUGGCUAGCCUAGAUUCUUUGAAACUCUAAAACCUUAAAUCGAUGAGAAAACAACAUAACCUUAAACUUUAAACUCGCAUAAACGAAAUAGUUUCUAGUAAAAAAAGUCGUUAAUUUUUCGAAAUUCUAACCUAGUUUGUAGCUAGAUCUUGUUUCAUCUGCAUUAAUCAUAUCUAUUUAAUUUAGCCACAUUGAAUUCUAGUGGAAUCGUAUGUAAAAUUGUAUAUAAUUGCUAUUUCUUCCAAUCUUUCCAAACUUUCGAUACCAUACCGGACAAACAAAUUCUUAGCCAAUUGAUAUAGCCAUACUAAAUUGAUCAUGUACACGAACGAUACGAUAUGAAACGAACAAAUAGGGCAAACACUGACAACUAAAUACCACGGACGGUCAUUAUUUGCGUAUCACGUAAAAGUUGCCAUAUUGUGAACCCUGAUGGGCGCUGGGCCCGUGCUGUUGAUGUUGAUGUUGUUUGUAUAAAUCAAGUCGGACGAAAUAAGUAACUGGAUGCUGAGGAACGACGCCAUGCGCGCGCUGCAGUUGCCAAAGUGAGGCCGCCAGAUGGCGGCACGCACGACGAAACAAUGAUUAUACGACCCGGCACGCAAAAACACAGACGAAAUAUUGUAUAAAGGCUCUUAACGAAAACUAUUCAUCAUGCAUAAUACGAAUAAUAUUUGCAGAAGCAACACACAACACACACAUAAACACAUAAACACACACGUAACGUAAUUGUAAAACCGAAACAUGAAAAAGUAACCUAUAUAGUUGAUAAAAAAAAAAGUUCGUUGAUACACACAUCUACUUAAAAUGGGGUAAUAACGCGUUUGCUUGGACAUUUUUCUAUUUUGUGACGAACGAAACAACAAGAUACAUGGCUUUAAAACUUUAAUAAGAUACACAUAAAGUAACCACACUAAAAACGGACGUGCGAACAUACGAUAAAUUGUAUAAAAGAUGAAAAAAACUAUAUAUUAAGAAUAACUAUUAUGCUUAUUGAUUAAUGAUAUGAGAUAUGAGAUAUGAGAUGAACAUUAUUACCAAAUAAGUAAAAAACCAAAGACAUCGUUCGAAAAUUCCAUAUGUAUUGAGAGAAAAUCGUUUCCGUAAACUUAAAGAACGCGUAUUAAACUAUUAAAUUCAUCAAAUCGGUCCAAUUAUUUAAAAAACAAUUUCAAGCGUUUUGUGCAAGCAUAAAAACCACGAGAAACGUACCAAUUCAGUAUUACUUUUCGGUUCCUUUUCAUAACCAUAAAUGAAUUUUAAAGAAAUGAGAAAAAAGCGUGGAAAAUAUCGAGUUACAUCAAAAUUUCACAAAAGAAUGAAGUAAAAUUGAAAAAAAAAACGUGUUGAAAAUAUAAAAGAGCUAUAAAUUAUAUACCUAAUUACAUAUUUAAAGAUAUAUAAGAAACUAUGCUUAAUUGGAAUUGAAAAAUACCGCUUUUUUACUAUUGUACGACGAUAUAAAUAACUAAGAUCUACGAAUGCAUACAAUGAUCCAUGAUUCUAUGCGAGUGAAUGAUUACUUACAUACAUUACGUUGUUAUUGACACACGGGGGCGGGGAACUUGAUAGACUUGACGUGGCGGGACUAUUUCGUUGGUUUUCUGGUUGUAAACAUGAGAGAAAAAUAAACAAAAACAUAAAUAGAGCAUUUUUGACGAAAAACAAUUUAAAAAUCAGUUAAAUUUCAAUUUACUACAAAAAAGGUUAGAAUUUGAUUGAUAAAAUGAUUGUACAAUCUUUCAAUAUGCUUGACAAGCAUUAUUUGAUUGAUAAAUGUAAUUUUAUUGUAAAAAUCAUAAUUUCACAAUGAAAAUUAUUAAGAAAUUAAAAUUUGAUUGAAAAAAUGAUUGUACAAUCCAUAAAAAUGAUGGUCAAUCAUUUUUUUAACUGAAAUAUUCCAAAAUAAUUAAAUUCUAGCCUUUUUAGUAUCAUACACAUUGUAAAUAUAAACAUAACAAAUUUUUCUUUGUUGUUGCGAGCUACAUUAACGAAUUUACCAUCUUAUCGGUUGAAUUCCUGAAUGUUGUGCAAAUUACACGUACACACACAAACACUCUCAUUGUUUUUGUUGUUAUGACUGGUUACGUUCACAAAUGGAGUCUGUAUUAACGAUUGAAUAGAAUAUUUUUCUAAAAGCGAA